CCCUUAGAUGUCCUGGGCCGCACGCGCGUUACACUGAUGCAUUCAACGAGCUUAUAACCUUGGCCGAGAGGCCUGGGCAAUCUUGUUAACGUGCAUCGUGAUAGGGAUAGAUUAUUGAAAUUAUUAAUCUUGAACGAGGAAUUCCUAGUAAACGCAGAUCAUCACUCUGCAUUGAUUACGUCCCUGCCCUUUGUACACACCGCCCGUCGCACCUACCGAUUGGAUGGUCCGGUGAAGCCUCGGGAUUGUGGUUCUUGCCGCUUUAUUGUGGCGUGACCGCGAGAACUUGUCUAAACCUUAUCAUCUAGAGGAAGGUGAAGUCGUAACA
This 328-nucleotide ribosomal RNA is filed under the name uncultured eukaryote. RNAcentral's name for it is "partial 18S ribosomal RNA". It matches the Rfam family "Eukaryotic small subunit ribosomal RNA", at positions 1470 to 1796 of the family's 1831-position model. The record is from RNAcentral.